Long non-coding RNA from Physeter macrocephalus (sperm whale), 1209 nucleotides. RefSeq lists it as uncharacterized. The record is from RefSeq and is a predicted model, not a curated record. The transcript is spliced from 3 exons. Lineage: Eukaryota; Metazoa; Chordata; Mammalia; Artiodactyla; Physeteridae.
GACCAGGGCUUGAACCCGUGUCCCCUGCAUUGGCAGGUGGAUUCUUAACCACUGCGCCACCAGGGAAGCCCCAAGCCGUUUUUUUUUAAUUGUCCCUUAAACAUUAUAUUGUCAGGCAUUGUAACCUUGUUUUGGUUUUACCCCCCUACUUCAAAAUGCAUUUCUUGUACUUUUGAUUAAUUCUGAUCAUACCAAUCUGUCAAAGCCCAGAAAGUCCUCGAUCCUCCCCAAAGUGCUCUCAGUACCACAGCUCUUACUGAUCCCUCUUGCUCCUCCCCCUCCUAUGACAUACCUAGUUCCUCUACCAUACAAUUUCACAAUUAGGUAUGCACUGUCUCCAAUGAUAGAGAACAGUUCUUUAUUCCUCCCUUGAAGACAUGAAUCAUAUUUUUGUCACCUCUUCCUCACCCCUGUUCUAAGCACAAAUUUUAAUAAAGUUGCUGGUCUUUAAGGAUAAAUUCACUGAGAAAAAUACUGAUAAACUUUUUUUUUUUUUCUGAUAAACUUUUAAUGGAUAAAAAGUCUACAUUCAAGUUGUAGCACCAGUUCUGCGACCCUGGACAAGUUCACUUCUCAGGAUGAAGUCUGUAAAAGCAAGACAGCUGGACUCAAUGACCUAACACUUCCUUCAGCCUUGAGCAAUACACAAGAGGGUGGCCUAGAGACCUCUGAGUGGCCAGUGAUGACCAGAAGUUGAAACUAAAGAGAAGGACAACUAAGAGAAAUUGAAGGGCAAGAAGGAGGAACAGAAGGGCAGCAGGAAAACAUCACCUUUGAGUAAUGAAAAGGAGCAAUGGAAAUUCACUGAGUCUUUACCAAGGGCCUACUAUGAGCCAGUCACUUGGGGCUGCAAAGGUGGUCGCUGACCUCAAGGGGCUAACAGUCCAAAGGUAACACCUCAAUUGUACUCCAACAAGAAAAUGCUGUUUUUGCAGCCUACUUUUAUGACGUCGAAGAAGCAACUCCAGAGAUGAAAGUGUAUUUCAGAUUUUUUUUAAAGGGACAAGAUCGAAUUCCAACCGCACUAGCCUGACAGCCCCAGACCCUGAAUUCAAGAGCCAUUCCAGCCUCUCGUCUGGCGCGUGACCUUGGGCAGGGCACUUCACCGCUCUGUGCCUCAGUUUCCUCAUCUGUAACGUGGGGCUAAGAAACCCCUCCCUCGCAUAGUCGUCGCAGGGUCCGGCCAGAGGGUACUCUUUGCGGCACCGG